CUCCGUUUGAUCCCGCCGGACCUGACUGCUAUCGGAUUGGUACUAAGCCAUGCGAGUCGUUGUAGCAAUACAAGGCGGACGGCUCAGUAACACGUAGUCAACCUAACCUAUGGACGUGGAUAACCUCGGGAAACUGAGAAUAAACCGCGAUAGAUCAUUAUGCCUGGAAUGGCUUAUGGUUCAAACAAUUUAUUGCCGUAGGAUGGGACUGCGGCCUAUCAGCUUGUUGGUGAGGUAAUGGCCCACCAAGGCUAUAACAGGUACGGGCUCUGAGAGGAGAAGCCCGGAGAUGGGUACUGAGACACGGACCCAGGCCCUAUGGGGCGCAGCAGGCGAGAAACCUUAGCAAUGUGCGAAAGCACGACUAGGUUAAUCCGAGUGAUUUCUGUUGAAGAAAUCUUUUGUCAGUCGUAAAACCACAGACGAAUAAGGGGUGGGCAAGUCUGGUGUCAGCCGCCGCGGUAAUACCAGCACCUCGAGUGGUCAGGAGGUUUAUUGGGCCUAAAGCAUCCGUAGCCGGCCACGCAAGUCUCCGGUUAAAUCCAGCUGCUCAACAGAUGGGCUGCCGGAGAUACUACAUAGCUAGGGAGCGGGAGAGGUAGACGGUAUUCUGUGGGUAGGGGUAAAAUCCACUGAUCCAUAGAGGACCACCAGUGGCGAAGGCGGUCUACCAGAACGCGUUCGACGGUGAGGGAUGAAAGCUGGGGGAGCAAACCGGAUUAGAUACCCGGGUAGUCCCAGCUGUAAACGAUGCAAACUCGGUGAUGCAUUGGCUUAUGGCCAAUGCAGUGCCGCAGGGAAGCCGUUAAGUUUGCCGCCUGGGAAGUACGGACGCAAGUCUGAAACUUAAAGGAAUUGGCGGGGGAGCA
This 869-nucleotide ribosomal RNA is filed under the name uncultured archaeon. RNAcentral's name for it is "bacterial SSU rRNA". It matches the Rfam family "Archaeal small subunit ribosomal RNA", at positions 1 to 878 of the family's 1478-position model. The record is from RNAcentral.